Molecule: ribosomal RNA, 1454 nt
Filed under: Salmonella enterica subsp. enterica serovar Hadar
Lineage: Bacteria; Pseudomonadati; Pseudomonadota; Gammaproteobacteria; Enterobacterales; Enterobacteriaceae
Description: partial 23S ribosomal RNA
Rfam family: Bacterial large subunit ribosomal RNA
Source: RNAcentral
UUAAUCGGGGCAGGGUGAGUCGACCCCUAAGGCGAGGCCGAAAGGCGUAGUCGAUGGGAAACGGGUUAAUAUUCCCGUACUUGGUGUUACUGCGAAGGGGGGACGGAGAAGGCUAUGUUGGCCGGGCGACGGUUGUCCCGGUUUAAGCGUGUAGGUGUGUGUUCCAGGUAAAUCCGGUUCACUUUAACACUGAGGCGUGAUGACGAGGCACUACGGUGCUGAAGCAACAAAUGCCCUGCUUCCAGGAAAAGCCUCUAAGCAUCAGGUAACAUCAAAUCGUACCCCAAACCGACACAGGUGGUCAGGUAGAGAAUACCAAGGCGCUUGAGAGAACUCGGGUGAAGGAACUAGGCAAAAUGGUGCCGUAACUUCGGGAGAAGGCACGCUGACACGUAGGUGAAGUGAUUUACUCAUGGAGCUGAAGUCAGUCGAAGAUACCAGCUGGCUGCAACUGUUUAUUAAAAACACAGCACUGUGCAAACACGAAAGUGGACGUAUACGGUGUGACGCCUGCCCGGUGCCGGAAGGUUAAUUGAUGGGGUCAGCGCAAGCGAAGCUCCUGAUCGAAGCCCCGGUAAACGGCGGCCGUAACUAUAACGGUCCUAAGGUAGCGAAAUUCCUUGUCGGGUAAGUUCCGACCUGCACGAAUGGCGUAAUGAUGGCCAGGCUGUCUCCACCCGAGACUCAGUGAAAUUGAACUCGCUGUGAAGAUGCAGUGUACCCGCGGCAAGACGGAAAGACCCCGUGAACCUUUACUAUAGCUUGACACUGAACAUUGAGCCUUGAUGUGUAGGAUAGGUGGGAGGCUUUGAAGUGUGGACGCCAGUCUGCAUGGAGCCGACCUUGAAAUACCACCCUUUAAUGUUUGAUGUUCUAACGUGGACCCGUUACCCGGGUUGCGGACAGUGUCUGGUGGGUAGUUUGACUGGGGCGGUCUCCUCCUAAAGAGUAACGGAGGAGCACGAAGGUUGGCUAAUCCUGGUCGGACAUCAGGAGGUUAGUGCAAUGGCAUAAGCCAGCUUGACUGCGAGCGUGACGGCGCGAGCAGGUGCGAAAGCAGGUCAUAGUGAUCCGGUGGUUCUGAAUGGAAGGGCCAUCGCUCAACGGAUAAAAGGUACUCCGGGGAUAACAGGCUGAUACCGCCCAAGAGUUCAUAUCGACGGCGGUGUUUGGCACCUCGAUGUCGGCUCAUCACAUCCUGGGGCUGAAGUAGGUCCCAAGGGUAUGGCUGUUCGCCAUUUAAAGUGGUACGCGAGCUGGGUUUAGAACGUCGUGAGACAGUUCGGUCCCUAUCUGCCGUGGGCGCUGGAGAACUGAGGGGGGCUGCUCCUAGUACGAGAGGACCGGAGUGGACGCAUCACUGGUGUUCGGGUUGUCAUGCCAAUGGCACUGCCCGGUAGCUAAAUGCGGAAGAGAUAAGUGCUGAAAGCAUCUAAGCACGAAACUUGCCCCGA